UACGAAGGGGGCUAGCGUUGCUCGGAAUCACUGGGCGUAAAGGGUACGUAGGCGGGUCUUUAAGUCAGGGGUGAAAUCCUGGAGCUCAACUCCAGAACUGCCUUUGAUACUGAGGAUCUUGAGUUCGGGAGAGGUGAGUGGAACUGCGAGUGUAGAGGUGAAAUUCGUAGAUAUCGGAAGGAACACCUGUGGCGAAAGCGGCUCACUGGACCAUUACUGACGCUGAUGCACGAAAGCUAGGGGAGCAAACAGG
Molecule: ribosomal RNA, 253 nt
Filed under: uncultured bacterium
Lineage: Bacteria
Description: partial 16S ribosomal RNA
Rfam family: Bacterial small subunit ribosomal RNA
Source: RNAcentral